Non-coding RNA from Mycena galericulata, 107 nucleotides. The record is from the annotation of a GenBank genome assembly. NCBI's taxonomy places the organism in Eukaryota, Fungi, Basidiomycota, Agaricomycetes, Agaricales, Mycenaceae.
GGCAAGAUGGCCGAGCGGUUAAGGCGUGUGACUCAAGUUGGACAGCUUGCCCUGUUAUGGGUUCUCAUCACAGUAAUGUGGCGUGGGUUCAAGUCCCACUCUUGUCA